This 695-nucleotide ribosomal RNA is filed under the name uncultured bacterium. RNAcentral describes it as "bacterial SSU rRNA". It matches the Rfam family "Bacterial small subunit ribosomal RNA", at positions 631 to 1324 of the family's 1533-position model. The record is from RNAcentral.
AACUUUUCAGCUAGAGUAUGAUAGAGGAAAGCAGAAUUUCUAGUGUAGAGGUGAAAUUCGUAGAUAUUAGAAAGAAUACCAAUUGCGAAGGGAGCUUUCUGGAUCAUUACUGACACUGAGGAACGAAAGCAUGGGUAGCGAAGAGGAUUAGAUACCCUCGUAGUCCAUGCCGUAAACGAUGUGUGUUAGACGUUGGAAAUUUAUUUUCAGUGUCGCAGGGAAACCGAUAAACACACCGCCUGGGGAGUACGACCGCAAGGUUAAAACUCAAAUGAAUUGACGGGGACCCGCACAAGUAGUGGAGCAUGUGGUUUAAUUCGAAGAUACGCGCAGAACCUUACCAACACUUGACAUGUUCGUCGCGACUCUAAGAGAUUAGAGUUUUCGGUUCGGCCGGACGAAACACAGGUGCUGCAUGGCUGUCGUCAGCUCGUGUCGUGAGAUGUUGGGUUAAGUCCCCGCAACGAGCGCAACCCCUCACUUUUAGUUGCCAUCAUUAAGUUGGGCACUCUGAAAGAACUGCCAGUGAUAAGCUGGAGGAAGGUGGGGAUGACGUCAAGUCCUCAUGGCCCCUUACGUGUUGGGCUACACACGUGCUACAAUGGUAUCUACAACAGGAAGCAAGACUGCGAAGUUAAGCAAAUCCCUAAAAGAUACCUCAGUUCGGAUUGCACUCUGCAACUCGAGUGCAUGAA